Molecule: non-coding RNA, 71 nt
Organism: Phthorimaea operculella (potato tuberworm)
Lineage: Eukaryota; Metazoa; Arthropoda; Insecta; Lepidoptera; Gelechiidae
Source: the annotation of a GenBank genome assembly
GCAUCGAUAGCUUAUUGGCAGAGCGGUGGGGCGUUGACCCAUGCGCCCUGCUUCGAGCCCCGGUCGAUGCA